Molecule: RNA transcript, 2633 nt
Organism: Corylus avellana
Lineage: Eukaryota; Viridiplantae; Streptophyta; Magnoliopsida; Fagales; Betulaceae
Gene name: protein FAR1-RELATED SEQUENCE 5
Source: RefSeq, a predicted model, not a curated record
GGAAGCCCUAAAAGAACACCUUUCACAUUCUCUACUGUGACACACCAAGAAACAGAGCAGCUUCCCCCUCCCUCCACGGCAGAAUACCCGCCGGAUUUUUGCUUAGGGUUUCUUCAGCUUUCGCCUUCCUGAAAUAUACAUUUACACCAAAAAAGAAGGCAUAUCGUUGCGUUAUGGGCGAUUCCUCUCAAAAUAUGAAUACCCAAACAGAUUGGACCCCUCAAGUUGGUAUGGAAUUUAAUACCCUAGAGGAUGCAUGGAAGCAUUGGGAAAAUUAUGGAAAGCAAAUGGGUUUUGGUGUGAGGAAGAAAUUUAUAAAUAAAAGUAAGAGAGAUGGAAAAGUAACAACAAGAGGAUUUGUUUGUUCUAAAGAAGGUGCUCGAAGACUAGACAAGCGGGAUCUUAACUGUCGUCAUCGAGAUGAAACAAGGACUAAUUGUUUUGUACGGAUGUUUGUUUCAUUAGUACGAGAGACUGAGAAGUACAAGGUUUAUGAUUUUGUAGCAGAACAUAAUCAUUUUCUUCAUCUUUCAGAAACUCCUUAUAUGAUGAAGUCGCAUCAACAAAUACCUGAAGUACAAGCCUUUGCAAUUAAUUUGGCAUGUGCUUCUAGAGUCACCCCUCCUAAGGCAAGCCAUGCGUCGAUGAGUAGAGAGACUGGCGGGAGAUGCAUUGAUCUUGAUCAAACAAACACUCUUCGAACAAAACGGCAGAGAAAAUUGAUAUAUGGUGAAGCUGGUUGGUUAUUGAAGUACUUUCAAGAACAAUUGACUAAAGAUCCAUCCUUCAAAUAUGCAAUACAAUUAGAUAGUGAAGAACAAAUAACUAAUAUUUUUUGGGUUGAUGCUAAAAUGAUCACCGACUAUUUCUAUUUUGGUGAUGUUCUGACUUUUGACACUACAUAUGGCACUAAUAAAGAUUUGAGACCCCUAGUUGUGUUUACCGGUUUUAAUCACCAUAGGGGGGUAGUGAUUUUUGGGGCUGCACUUCUAUAUGAUGAAACGGUAGAGUCAUAUAAAUGGCUUUUUGAAAGUUUCUUAGGAGCGCACGAGGGUAAAAAGCCUCGAUCGAUCUUCACAAAUGAAGAUGUUGCAAUAGAGAAGGCGUUAACUGAGGUGAUGCCGGGCACAUGGCAUGGAUUAUGUACUUGGCACAUACUGCAAAAUGUUAUCAAGCAUGUAGGGAAUUUGAUGAAGGAUGGUUCCUUUUUUCUUCGAGACUUCAAAGAUUGUAUGUUUGAGUAUGAGGAUGAAACUGAAUUUGAAAAUGCUUGGGACAAAAUGAUUCAAACGUAUAACGGUGAGCAUCUUAGUUGGUUGGAUGGUAUAUACAAAUUGAAGACAAAAUGGGCCAAGUGUCAUGUGAAGAGGGCAUUUACUUUGGGAGUGGGAAGUACUCAACUCAAUGAAAGCUUGAGUGGGGACUUGAAAGCGUACCUAAAAUCAGAUUUGGAUGUGGUCCGAUUUUUUGAACAUUUUGAGAGAGUGGUAGAGCAAAAGCGACAUAAGGAAUUGAAGACUGAAUUUAAUGCUAGGCAAAAAUUGCCUACAUUGAGCUUGAAAAAUUCCCCCGUGUUGAAGCAGGCAGCACAAACAUAUACACCUGUGAUAUUUAAAAUAUUUCAAGAUGAGUAUGACUAUGCAUCAGCAGCGGUAAUAAAAUAUCGCAAUGAGAGUCAGCUAAUGCAUGAAUAUAUUGUUGUACUUCUUAAUGAAGAGAGAGAGUAUAAAGUACUUUGCGACCAAAAGAAUAAGAUAAUCUCAUGUAGUUGCAAGAAGUUCGAAACAUUUGGGAUUUUGUGUUGCCAUGCUCUGAAAGUUUUUGACUUGCUUGAUAUAAAGAUGAUUCCUGAUAUGUACAUUUUGAAAAGAUGGACAAGAGAUGCGAAGAGUGAAUGCUUGUUAGAUGGUAAGAUAAGGAAUGUGGAAGAGGAUAUUAAUUUGAAUGUGACACAAAGAUAUAGAAGAUUGUGUACCAGGCUGGUGAGAUUAGCUACUGAAGCAGCCGACACAGAAGAUACAUAUGCUUUGGUAGCGAGGGCAAUAGAAGAAAUGAAAAAGCAAGUGAAAGAUAUUGCAACAAAAAGUUCAAGUGCUACUCUUGGUGAUCAAGCUCACAUGUCAUUGGCAGGGAAUUGAUGGAUUCAAUCAUACUCCGAUACCCUGUGCUGAUAGCGCAAAUACUAAUAUGAAUCUCAGGAAAUUUCUCGGACAUUGAAAGUAUAGAGGCUGUGUUGUGGUUUCUAAGCAUACUUUCCUCUCAGGCAUGUCCCGCAAUUCUCAUCAGUUCCAUUAAAAAAACCAGAUAUUUGAACUUCGUGAAUAGAGCCAAAGAAGCCCAGAGAAGAAGCAGAGAAGCCCAAGGCCAUAAAAGAUAUGCAUCAAAAAAAUCUUUUGGGAUGACAAGGCUGUAAAAUUUUGAAAUUUUGGUUCCCCCUUCACACACAAACCCCCCCCUCCCCCCCUCCCUUUUCUUGCUUGGAGAGAGGGGUUUUGAGAUGGUGAAAAUACAGUUCUGUUAAUAUUUGCAAUUACUUAGCUAGAUGUAGUCAUAUUGAAAGACACUGAUUUCUGUAAAUUAACCUAAAUUCAGAGACAGCAGAAUGAUAGGUCAUGAGUUUAGUUUUUAUUUUA